Ictidomys tridecemlineatus (thirteen-lined ground squirrel) is the source of this 72-nucleotide non-coding RNA. Lineage: Eukaryota; Metazoa; Chordata; Mammalia; Rodentia; Sciuridae. The record is from Rfam.
UGGGAUGUGGCUCAGUGGUAGAGCGCUCGCCUAGCAAGUGCGGGGCCCUGGAUUCGAUCCUCAGUACCACAU